This 3174-nucleotide long non-coding RNA is filed under the name Xyrichtys novacula (pearly razorfish). The record is from RNAcentral. Lineage: Eukaryota; Metazoa; Chordata; Actinopteri; Labriformes; Labridae.
GUUUGUAUGUUAUGUCUGUCAGUUCACCAUGUUCCUCGAUGUGUGAAUCCCUAGUUUUUUUUCCCCCUGUGCUUUUUGUUUGAUUUUGCCUUUGGGAUUUCUCAGUUGGACCUCUGAAAUACGUUUUUGUUGCUUUUCAUUUAGUUCUUUUCAAUAAAUCUUUUUUUUUUUAGUCUGCAUUUUUGAGUCCUUUUUCCAUUUUUUAACCCCGCGUUGUGACAAGAUUUUUUCAUCAUUCAAGGACAGAUGACAGAUGAUCCCCAGUUUGAUUUUGUGCAGCUAAGCAUCUCUUCAUCACGUCCCUGCUUUCUAAGCUGAACUCUGAAGUGAGACUCUUGAAUGCAGCCGCGUUGAGUUUCUUUAAAUGGAGGGGAGCUCCUGGAGACGCUCACACAUCAAAAGUAAUUAAUUCGUCUAAAGUUGAUAAUCACAGCCUUAAUUAUACUUGUUUACAUCUUCAGAGGUAAAUCAGAAGGUCCUCUGCGUAUUCAUGAGUCCUUGAUUAUAAAUACGGUUCAGCAGAAGAGGAUUCAGUCCUGCGGCACCUGAGAGAGUAAAUGACAUUAAUGCAUGAUUAAUGCUGUUAAGAGAGCAAUCACCAAUUUGUCUCAACAGAAAGAGGAGGAUUCUGAUGAAAGAGGAAAACAAGUUUAAUCUUAUGAUGAUAGCUGUGUUGAAAACACUUUCAGCACGGUUCUGUGGAAAUGAUGAAAAAACAGAGACUCACUGAGCUUUUUGAAAUGACCCUUUAAUCCAUGGGAAAUUUUAAAGCUUUGUAGCUGAUUUACUCAUCGUUUGACGUCCGCUAUCAUCACAAAACACACACACAGAGGUCAGGUUAAGACCUUUAUUUAACUUCUACACCUCAGUGUCAUGCAUCGUCCACUUAAUUUGUACCCUUUGCUUUCUUCAGCAGCCAUUUGUGAUGCUUUCCCUGCUGAUGUUUGUUUGUGAGUUGCUGAGGCAGCAUGGUGUGCCAACGUCACGGUCAGCAGUUUGUAGAUCUUUUAGUUUUCCAUUGUGAGAGCACAAAGAGAGUAAACAGAUUUAAAAUAGAGUUUAAAGAAAUGACUCUUACGGUCUCCGGUUGCAGUGCUGUGGAUUUAUUGAGUGGCUAUGAAUAAAUAAGAAGCUUAGAGCUGCAGAUACUUUAUAAUGUUGGACUUCCUAACUUGACUUUAUUGCUGUUUUUGUCCAACACAUCCAGAGCUUUCUUACUGUACAUGAAUGCACUCUGCAGCCUUGAGUUUCUGCGAUGGAAUCUAAUUCAACUAUUCAGAUCCAGAGUGUUUAUGGAUGCAGGAAACCUCCUGCCUUAUGAGUGAACCUGAAACGUGAUUACAGAGUGAGUGGGCCCCUGCUGUUUACAUCUAUUCAUGAUUCAAAUUGAACGGUUUGUAUGAAAGCUUCCACCCUGCGGAAAUCACGCAGAAGCAGCACACUAUUCUUAAAGCAAUGAGGUUCAUUUGCAGACAAGGGGGCCGGAUUGAUUGUAAGAUGGCUCAUUUACACUCAAACAGCGCUGUGGCAUGAGAUGUUUUGCGUGGUCCUUUUAACUCUUUUGCACUCUGAAUUUGAGGUGAGGUGUUUUUGUGCCUCUCUCAGCCUCAAUGCAGCAGCAUCAGGGUGAGUGUGUAAGUAGGCAACACAAAGCAGCUAUAGGACCAGUGAGUGGUUUUUGGCAGAAUGAGGGUGUUUUACUUCAGGGCCUUAAAAUCAGCUCUUUCUCUUUGGUUGUUGUUGUUGUUAUUACAGCUGAUAGGGUUUGGAUUGGCCUCUCUUUUGUAGCUGGUUUUAACGGAGUUGAUGGCGUUCCGGAAAACAAGUCUGGAAACCAAGAUAGGCACCUGCUGUUAUAAUGUUUAGCCGUUGUUAGCUGCUUUUAGCUGUUGUUAGCAAUAUCAGUUGCAUAACACAGUAUUUUACUCUUAAGGUCCUUACACACGGGGGCCAAUGCGAAUAUAAAAAACGAAAUUACGAAAUAUUCAGAGGCAAAUUUUGACGCGCCUGACUAUACACAUUAAGCACAAUGCGAUUUUGCAACUUUCCGGGGGGAAAAAGACGCGUCCUGGGUGGAAGCGAGAAGACUGACACAACAGCAGACUGACUGUUUUUCAGUUCUGAUUAGACACUAGUGUUGAGAUGUCUGUCUGUCAUGAUAGCAUGUACUGAGUCAGGGCCAGUACCAGAUAAGCACAUUAAACUAUAAUCCAUAAACGUAAGGUAACAACUGAGACCUAAUGGUGCUGUGACAGCAAUGUGAUUGAGUUUGAGACAGUGAAAAUACAUAUGGUAUGUUGUAUCUGAACAGGUUAGCUUACGAGCUAAAGUUACUUAGCACAGAUGAAAGUUAAAACAGAGACGUUUAGCAAACUGAUAAAGCACACAAAACGUUGUCAUGUGAGAAAUCAAAUGCUAUGACCCUCCACAAGUUGUCCUUCAGGUUGUUAUCUUUGCAAAAUUUUGUGUCUUUUAUCAAAAAGCACUCUGUUCUGCCAUGUUGGAUAUACUGGUGAAGCUGACGUCGCAACAGCACGAAAAUCUGAUUGGUCAGAAGCUGAUGUGAACGCUUGUAUUGACAGGAUACGGGUUAUAAAAAAAUAUUGACGUCUGAAAUAAUCGCACGACAAAAAUGGUCCCAGUGUGAAAGGACCUUUUAGAAACACUAUAGAACCUUGUUCAAAGUUAGACAUUGGGCAGUGCAACAUAUACCAUUUAUUUAAUUUCACUAAAACAAAACGGAAGUGCUAAUAAAUAAUACAUUACGAGAGCUUUCACUGUUACUCUUUACUGUUGAGGCACUGUGCUGCCAUCUUGGAUUAUGAAGUUGUCAUCAAGUUGGGGUUGGUGAGGAUCAUCUGACUUUACAAGUCAGAAAUUCAACUUCAGGGGGGCGUUCCAGGUGAAUUUCUGAAUGGGAACUCGGAAAAUCCAAGCACAAAUGGAACACAGCAUAAAUCCUUUGACAUGCUUCAUAUUUUCACCCCUCCUUCUUUUCUUUGCAUCUUUUCCAGAUGGAAAACCCUUGAAAUGUGACCUUGAACAACUACUUGUAUAUUUUGAUAAACAAAAAACCCUCAUUUAAUGUAUGUUAUGACUCUUUUUAAAAAGCUAAAGUGGAGCUUUUAUUUUAGAUAUGUACUUUCCAUUGCCAAUAAUCAAACUUGUGGAGGC